ACCUGGGGUAGAGGUGCUGUAAUUAAUAGUACUCAUUUUGAGCAGCCAAGCUAUGAAAAAAGAGGAAAGGGAUUAUAGCCGAAGAAAGCAAUGUGGCAAGUUGUUUUCUGGCUUUAUAUAUAACAUAUGUAAAGUUGUCACUGUUUAUGGUGGAGAGCUACAGAGGUC
Clostridium tetanomorphum DSM 665 is the source of this 168-nucleotide non-coding RNA. The record is from Rfam. Lineage: Bacteria; Bacillati; Bacillota; Clostridia; Eubacteriales; Clostridiaceae.